CAGUAAUUCCGAGUAACGCUUGCACCCUUCGUAUUACCGCGGCUGCUGGCACGAAGUUAGCCGGUGCUUAUUCUUUGGGUACCGUCAUCCCAACCGGGUAUUAGCCAGCUGGAUUUCUUUCCCAACAAAAGGGCUUUACAACCCGAAGGCCUUCUUCACCCACGCGGUAUGGCUGGAUCAGGCUUGCGCCCAUUGUCCAAUAUUCCCCACUGCUGCCUCCCGUAGGAGUCUGGACCGUGUCUCAGUUCCAGUGUGGCUGAUCAUCCUCUCAGACCAGCUACGGAUCGUCGCCUUGGUGGGCCUUUACCCCGCCAACUAGCUAAUCCGACAUCGGCUCAUUCAAUCGCGCAAGGUCCGAAGAUCCCCUGCUUUCACCCGUAGGUCGUAUGCGGUAUUAGCGUAAGUUUCCCUACGUUAUCCCCCACGAAAAAGUAGAUUCCGAUGUAUUCCUCACCCGUCCGCCACUCGCCACCCAGAGAGCAAGCUCUCCUGUGCUGCCGUUCGACUUGCAUGUGUUAGGCCUACCGCCAGCGUUCACUCUGAGCCAGGAUCAAACUCUG
Molecule: ribosomal RNA, 560 nt
Filed under: uncultured bacterium
Lineage: Bacteria
Description: partial 16S ribosomal RNA
Source: RNAcentral